Molecule: long non-coding RNA, 24333 nt
Filed under: Zea mays
Lineage: Eukaryota; Viridiplantae; Streptophyta; Magnoliopsida; Poales; Poaceae
Description: long non-coding RNA (ZMAY_LNC000467)
Source: RNAcentral
GGAGACGCUUCAGCAGGAUCUGAAGGACAGGACACGGCUAUGCUGCUAUUACAAACGGAAAACGAAGCUCAAAACCAAAAAUUACAACACAAUACAAACUAUUAAUUAAUACCUAAUUGACCUUCGGGCUCUGUGCUCUUUUCAGCAGCCUUAGCCAUUUCUCUAGCAUUGUGAAUGCCCUUUUCACUUCUUUGAAUAAUUUCUCCUGCCAUUUCUCGGCCACCAUUAUCCCAGAUAUCAGUAAAAAACUUUCCACCAAUUAUGCUUGCUUCGGCCGAAGGGUCUUUUGAGUCGUCAAAGGACAAAGCAGUUUCGGAUUGUGCUAAGAUUUUUACGUGUUCACAGCCCUUCUUCUCUAGAAUGGUGGCAAUUCCUCUGGCCCCAGAGAAAGCACAUAUAUCCCCACGGCUAUUUAAAAUUUCUUCGAAGGCUUCAGCUUCGUGGUCGAUCCAUUCAAUAGGACCUUCGGGAUUGCCUCUUAUAAAGUUUUCUUCACUAGAGAAGACGCCGACCCUGGCGAAGCUAGCCCUCAACUUCUUAACACAUUCUAUAGAUUUGUUAUAGCACCUCUUCUUGGAUGAACGAAGCUCUUCAACAGUUGCUUCCAAGUGAUCCGCCCAUUGGUCGCUGAGCUCUCGCCUUGUUUCUUCAAGUAUACGUUCUUCCCUGGCUCUGGCCAGUUGUUUCCGAAGAUCUUCUAUUUCGCGUUUCUGAGCUUCAGCCUGACUCUUGGACGCAGCUUCGUCUUCCUUGAUUUUAUUUACCAAUGAGUGUAAUAUUUUAUCUUUUUCAAGGCCUUCGUUCCUCAGUUCAAUUACUUCGGAACGAAGGUUGCUCAGGGCUAUAGUACACCCUUCGUCUUCAGCAUCUUUUUGUGCCCUGAGGGCAUUACUAAGUAUCAGGCCCUGCAAAGAAAAGUAUGUGUGUUUCAAUAAAACAAGCAAAAGGUUUUUUUUCAACAAAGAAUACAAGGAUCCCAUUUGUUGCACCUUUAAGCUAUUGUAGGCCAGGCUGUCGGCCAAAUCGUUCUUCGACAGCACCGAGAGCCCGUCUUCUAAGGUUGGGAAUCCGAAGCUCUUGCUCAUCUCCCGGCAAACAGAAAUUUCCUUGUUGUCAGGGAGACAAUACAAAAAGUCUUCUUCUCCGCUACCAUUGAAUAUUAACGCCCCCUUUGGAUACUUCAGCUUUUGGGCGUAAUGCUGGGCCUCUUGCUCCUCUUUUUCUGAAAGUUUCUUCCCCGAAGCAUGACGAACAAUAUAAUCACGAACUCUGAUGGAUGCUUCGGGGGCAAUGACUUCGAUCUCUUCAGCAAAAGUUGGCUUUGUUAUUUUUUCCUCAGUUUCCAAGGAUUCUAUCUUCGCGGGCUCUGAGGACCCAGCUUCGGCUUCAGUCCCUUGCACUGGAGUUUUGUCAUAAGAAAUUUCAGUUGUUUCAGGAAUGGCAGCAGCCUUCUUCGGAGGCGUGCUUGAAGUUUUAAUUGUUUCUAGUACAUCUAGCACAUUCGCCAUUCUUCUUCUUUUUGGAGUCACUGCUGGCACUUUUUGAUUUUUUGUUGUCUCAACAUUUGCUGCAGGACUCACAAUUUCUGGUACUUUUUCUUCAGUUGGUUUUUUCACUUCUGCAAUUUUUUCUGUGGAUGGCGCUUCGGCCAUUUCUUUGGUUUCUGGCAGCGAAACCUUCGGUUCUUCUAGUUCUAUCUUUUUCGCCAUUUCGGUCAUCCCUGUAGCUGCAGGUGGCGUGACUGGUCUGGUUGGCUUUUUAGCCUCGGUAGCCGAAGAAGAUUUUUCGGUAAACUCCGGCACCGAAGCUGGUUUGAUAUAGCGCGGCCGGUGAGUGAGGACUUUUAUUUUCUUUCUUUCAGGCUCUGGCUCGCUAGGAGCAGUUGCAGCUUCUUCUUUUGCAGAGGUUAUGUUCUUUCUUUUCUGCCUUCGGACGGGGUAGCAAUAGUCAGGGUAAACAAACCCAAUUGCAUCAAAUACCCGAUUCAGCCUCUUCUUUUUUCGGCCUCCGAAGGCUGCUGACAUCGCAGUAUCUUCGGCCUUCGAAUAAGCACCAAGCAAUUCGUCACUUAAAUUUUCAAUACUCUUUAGCCAGUCGUCAUCUGGCUCAGUAAAUUUAUCUCCAAACUUGAAGGUGUACUUCAGUCUCACAAGCCCACCUUCGUCGGCCUCUUUUGUGGUUUCUUGAGGCAUUUCCCAUUUCUCCGCAAGAGGCCACACCCGGAAGGCAAUAUGCUCUUGUACUAAAUCUCUUGUUCCAAUAAAAGAGCAGAUGACGCCGAAGGCCCUCUGGCAUUCUUCGGCAGCUUCAUUCAUUUCCACCUUCGGCCUCCGAAGGCCGAAGCUUUGCCAAAUAGGACGCAUAAUUAUACCUUUGAUGUCUUCUCGUGCUGAUAGGUCAUUCUUCACAUAAAACCAUUCUGUCAUCCAAUCCCCGGGCCAUCUCUUCCGAAAGGUUGGUACGGGACAGCUUGCCCCGGACCGAGAGACGAAACUGUAGCAGCCAAAGUUAUUAUGGUACUGUUCUUUGCCCCAAGGCUUUGUUUCAUAUAAUAAUUCAUGUAUAUUACAGAAGCUUCUUGCAUCAGGCUUCAGACCUUGGCUUCUCGCGGCCCACACGAAGAUAUUUAGCCUUAUAAUUGCCUCGGGAGUAAGUUGAUGAAGAUAGACUUCGAAGAUUUUCAACACCUCCACGACGAAGCUGCUCAAGGGGAAUCGCAAUCCAGCUUUCAAAAAGCUUCGAUACACCACAACUUCAUUUUCUUCAGGGUGUGGACAAGUCUUUUCCCCUUUGUCCGCCCUCACAAUGGACAGAUCCCGGAAAUACCUUCCCCUCAUAUUGGCAAGAUGGUUUUCUUUGAUAGCUGAUUUGCCGAAAACCGCAUGACUUGGUCGCCAGGGGCGAUCUUCGGAGUCUUCACCGCCACUAUCUACAUCAAAACUGUCACUGUCACCAGUAUCUUCAGACAAGCCUUCCAGAAUUUCCUUGGUGAUUUUUUCCGUGUUUGUCUUCGACAUCGCUAUAAGAAACCCCAAGUUUUUCUCCUCAUCAAGAGACAGCUUCGUCUCAGUAACAGCUUCCUUGUCUCCAGACAUCUUCGGAAACACUAAAAAACUGUUUUCAAAGUCGAAGCUUUAAAACUAAAGACUCAGGGAAUCUUAGCGCGCAAAAGCUAAAAAUCGAGCGAGCGAGAGCAAGUGGCAAGAGAGCGUACCAAAUGAGCUCGCGGUAUGCUCUUAUUUAUACGCUCGGUGUGGUAAAAAUUGAAAGACCCCGCCUGUCAGUGAAUGUUGCUAUUCUAGCAAAGGGAAGGUGUUUUUUCGGACCUUCGGCUUAAAGCCUUCGUCCAUGUCGCAAUCUAAAUUUAUUAUUUUAACAAAUUAAUAUUGCGAGGGGCUACUGUUGGGGGCCUUCGGCUUCCGAAGGUCCUCAAAAACAUGAUUUAACAGUGUUUUUAGAGUAUAAUGUGUGAGCAGGUAUCUUCGGACUCGUAUCAGAAAGGGAGAAGCUCAAAAGAUACGAAGGUUGACACAGCGCCGAAGCUGUGAAGCAGGAAAGCUUCGGCAUGUUCGCAGAAAAGGGAACCGACUUAAAGAUGAAAAGGCCAUUUAAACCUCGAUAGAUUGCUAUAGAAUUAUCACCAAAUGUAAAGGGCAUGUAUGUAAUUUUGUAUGGGUUGUACCCCGUGCCUAUAAAUAGGUGAACAGUACCCCCGUACUGUUCACGCUGACUUGGUGUUCACUUUUGCGUCACGCUUGUACUUUCAUUUCCUUCAAAUUGAAGGUACAUCUGUAAUCCAAUGUUAUUUUUAUUUAUAUAUAAUAAUGAUAUAUGAUGAUCUACGUAAUUCUUUAUGUUUCUUGUAAUUCAUUCUUCGUUAAUAUGCAAUGCAUUUAUAAUGGUUCGCCCUUUGUGACCUUCGUCCGAAAAUCAUUAUAUCCCAAGGGAAAUAAUGCUUCGUAGGACGAAGGACUUAACCGAUUAACAUUUUCUGUGUUGCCUUGUUCUUGAAGCAUUUGAGAACAAGUCCCCAACAAUGGCGAUGCGCAACCCGUUAACCAGAGCCUCGUACUCGGCCACGUUGUUGGGCGCCGGGAAAUGGAGGCGCAGCACGUAGCGGAGGUGCUUCCCGAGGGGCGAGAUGAAGAGCAGGCCCGUGCCCGCUCCUGUCUUCAUCAGCGACCCAUCGAAAAACAUGGUCCAGAGUUCUGGUUGGAUCGGAGCUGCUGGAAGCUGGGUGUCGACCUAUUCAGCCACAAAGUCCGCCAAGACUUGGGACUUGAUGGCCUUCUGAGGAGCGAACGAGAUUGUCUCGCCCAUGAUCUCCACUGCCCACUUUGCAAUCCUACCCGAGGCCUCUCGGCACUGGAUGAUCUCCCCCAGGGGGAAGGAUGACACCACAGUCACCGGAUGAGACUCGAAGUAGUGUCGCAACUUUCGCCGCGUCAGAAUUACCGCGUAUAGUAGCUUCUGAAUUUGCGGGUAGCAGAUUUUGGUCUCGGACAGUAUCUCACUGAUGAAGUAGACCGGCCUCUGGACGGGCAAUGCAUGCCCCUCUUCUCGUCUCUCGACUACGAUCGUGGCGCUGACCACCUGAGUGGUUGCGGCUACGUAGAUCAAGAGGGCUUCUCCGGCAGCGGGGGGCACCAAGAUGGGCGCGCUUGUGAGGAGUGACUUUAGGUUUCUGAGGGCUUCCUCAGCCUCGGGGGUCCAAGUGAAGCGCUCGGUCUUCCUUAAGAGGCAGUACAGAGGUAGGCCUCUUUCACCGAGGCGCGAGAUGAAGCGGCUCAGAGCCGCAAGGCAUCCCAUAACCCACUGUACUCCUUUCAAGUCCUUGAUGGGCCCCAUGUUGGUGAUGGCCGCGAUUUUCUCCGGGUUGGCCUCGAUGCCCCGCUCGGAGACGAUGAACCCCAGGAGCAUGCCUCGGGGGACUCCGAAGACACACUUCUCGGGAUUGAGUUUUACGCCUUUCGCCUUGAGACACUUGAAUGUCGUUUCAAGGUCGGAGAGGAGGUUGGAGGCUUUUCUCGUCUUGACUACGAUGUCAUCGACGUAAGCCUCGACCGUUCGACCAAUGUGCUCUCCGAACACGUGGUUCAUGCACCUUUGGUAUGUCGCACCCGCAUUCCUCAAACCAAAUGGCAUAGUAAUGUAGCAGUACAUGCCAAAAGGUGUGAUGAAAGAAGUCGCGAGCUGGUCGGACUCUUUCAUCCUGAUUUGAUGAUACCCUGAGUACGCAUCGGGGAACGACAGGGUUUCGCACCCAGCAGUGGAAUCCACGAUUUGAUCGAUGCGAGGCAGAGGGUAGGGAACUUUCGGACAUGCUUUGUUUAGACCAGUGUAGUCUACACACAUCUGCCAUUUCCCACCUUUCUUUUUCACAAGCACAGGGUUGGCUAGCCAUUCGGGAUGGAAUACCUCUUUGAUGAACCCUGCUGCCAUCAGCUUGUGGAUCUCCUCGCCUAUGGCUCUGCGCUUUUCUUCGUCGAAUCGGCGCAGAGGCUACUUCAUGGGUCGGGCUCCAGCUCGGACAUCCAGCGAGUGCUCGGCAACAUCCCUCGGUAUGUUGGGCAUGUCCGAGGGGCUCCACGCAAAAACCUCGGCGUUCGCACGGAGAAAGUCGACGAGCACUGCUUCCUAUUUGGGGUCGAGCUCGGAGCCGAUUUGGACCUGCUUGGAGGUGUCGUUGCUGGGGUCGAGAGGGACGGACUUAACCGCCUCAGCUGACUCGAAGUUGCCGGCGUGGCGCUUCGCAUCUGGCACCUCCUUGGAGAGGCUCUCCAGGUCGGCGAUGAGGGCCUCGGAUUCGGCGAGGGCCUCGGCGUACUCCACGCACCCCGCGUCGCAUUCGUACGCGUGUCGGUACGUGGAGCCGACGGUGAUGACCCCGUUGGGGCCCGACAUCUUGAGCUUGAGGUAGGUGUAGUUGGGGACGGCCAUGAACUUGGCGUAGCAUGGUCUCCCCAGCACUGCGUGGUAGGUUCCUCGGAACCCGACCACCUCGAACGUGAGGGUUUCCUUUCGGAAGUUGGAAGGAGUCCUGAAGCAAACAGACAGAUCGAGUUGCCCAAGGGGUUGGACGCAUUUCUCGGGGAUGAUCCCGUGAAAGGGCGCUGCGCCGGCCCGGAUCAUGGACAGAUCGAUCUGCAGGAGCCCAAGGGUCUCGGCGUAGAUGAUGUUGAGGCUGCUGCCUCCGUCCAUGAGGACCUUGGUAAGCCUGACGUUAUCGAUGACGGGAUCGACAACGAGCGGGUACUUCCCCAGGCUCGGCACGUGGUCGGGGUGGUCGCCCUGGUCGAAGGUGAUGGGCUUGUCGGACCAGUCUAGGUAGACUGGCACCGCCACCUUCACCAAGCAGACCUCCCAGCGCUCUUGCUUGCGGUGCCGAGCCGAGGCGUUCGCCACUUGCCCACCGUAGAUCAUGAAGCAGUCAUGGACCUCGGGGAACUCCUCUGCCUUGUGACCCUCCUUCUUGUCGUUGUCGUGGGCUCGGCCACCUUCCGCCGGGGGCCCGACCUUGUGGAAGUAGCGCCGAAGCAUGACGCACUCCUCAUGGGUGUGCUUGACGGGACCCUGAUGAUAGGGGUACGACUCCUUGAGCAUCUUGUCGAACAGGUUGGCGCCUCCGGGAGGCUUCUGAGGGUUCCUGUGCUCGACGGCGGCGACAAGGUUCGCGUCGGCGGCGUCGCGUUUCGCUUGCGACUUCUUCUUACCCUUUUCUUGGUGCCGCGCUGAGCGGACGCCUCAGGGACGUCUUCCGGCUGGCGCCCCUGAGGCUGCUUGUCCUUCCGGAAGAUGGCCUCGACCGCCUCCUAACCAGAGGCGAACUUGGUGGCGAUGUCCAUCGGCUCGCUCGCCCUGGUGGGAGUCUUGCGACCCAGCUUGCUCACCAGGUCGCGACAAGUGGUGCCGGCGAGGAACGCGCCGAUGACAUCCAAGUCGGUGAUGUUGGGCAGCUCAGUGCGCUGCUUCGAAAAUCGCCGGAUGUAGUCCCGCAGGGAUUCUCCUGGCUGCUGGCGGCAACUUCGGAGAUCCCAGGAGUUCCCAGGGCGCACGUAUGUGCCCUAGAAGUUGCCGGUGAAGGCUUUGACCAGGUCGUCCUAGUUGGAGUUCUGCGCAGGAGGCAGAUGCUCCAGCCAGGCUCAAGCGGCGUCGGAGAGGAACAGGGGGAGGUUGCAGAUGAUGAGGUUGUCAUCGUCCAUUCCACCCAGCUGGUAGGCCAGCCGGUAGUCCGCGAGCCACAGUUCCGGCCUCGUCUCCCCCGAGUACUUGGUGAUGGUAGUCGGGGUUCGGAACCGGGUCGGGAACAGCGCCCGUCGUAUGGCCCGGCUGAAAGCUUGCGGACCGGGUGGUUCGGGCGAGGGGCUCCGAUCCUCCCCGCUGUCAUAGCGUCCCCCACGCCUGGGGUGGUAGCCUCGGCGCACCUUCUCGUCGAGGUGGGCUCGACGGUCAUGGCGGUGGUGCUCGUUGCCGAGGCGACCCGGGGCCGCAGGCGCUGUGUUCCGCGUGCGCCCGGUGUGGACCGAGGCUUCCCGCAUGAAUCGGGAAGUCGCGGGGCGAUGCUCCGGGGGGUACCCCUGCCUUCGGGAGGCAGAGCUCUCCGCCCGUCGGACCACGGCAUCCUCCAGGAGAUUCUUGAGCUCUCCCUGAAUACGCCGCCCCUCGGUGGUGGAUGGUCCCGGCAUCGCUCGGAGUAGUAUUGCUGCUGCAGCCAGGUUCUGGUCGACCCCACUGGAAGCCGGGGGCAGCCUUGCCCUGGCAUCGUUGGUGAUGCGGUGCUGGACGUCCUGGGCCAGAUGACGCGCUUCUCCGGCCGGUGCUCGGCCUGCCCAUUCCUGCCCGAUAUUCUGCCGGAGCUGCACAAGUUGUCCUGCUUCCUCGUCGAGCCUGGCCUGCAUCUCGCGGAUUUGCUCGAGCUGUGCGUCCUGACCCCCCGCAGGGACUGGGACCACAGCUAGCUCCCGAAGGAUGUCAACGCGAGGCGCAGGCCUAGGGGGAUCGCCGUCCUCCGGCAUACCAAGGUGGUUGCCUUCGUCGAGACCCCCUAGAUCGACGUGGAAACAUUCGCGACUUGGGCCACAGUCCUCGUCGUCAAGGCUGUGGCCAUCAUCGGAGCAAUAGGAGAGGCAGUAGUCACAUGCAGUCAUGAAGUCCCGCAUGGCACUGGGGUUACCGAGCCCGGAGAAAUCCCAACCAGAGUCGGGCUCGUCAUCUUCCUCGGAACCCGGGGGCCCAUAGGUCGAGACGGCCAUCAAUCGGUCCCAGGUUGACCACAUAUGGUACCCCGGAAGGCUAGGAUAUGCCUUUAUGAAAGCGUCCACCGAAGCGGGAUCGCUUGGUGGGUCGAAGCUGAAUCUAAAAGGCACAAGAUGGAAAACGGACGGUACCUCCUGAUCGACGGAUGGUGGCGAAGUCGCGUCGGGGACGGACUGCACCGUUAUCUCAGGUACGAGGCUAACGCCCACCAAGUCCUUCGCGAGCGUGAUGGCGUCGUCCGUCUGCUUGGGGUUGGCGUGUUGCGGGGAAACGACGCUCGUCUUCGUCUCAGACGCGAGGUCAACGCCCGACGUGUCCCCUGCUGGGGCGCCGGCGCCAUCAACUCGCUCGACAGCCGACGAGGUGCCGCCUCCUGCUUGGCCAUGGUUGCCCCGCCUCCUCCUCCUCCGUCGGCGGGGAAGGUGACGAGACAGACCCGGAUGCUGUUCUUCCGUCACACGGGGAAGAUGUCGUCGAUUCUGCCGUCGUCGGGCGGGCUGACGGCCGCCAUUGUCGUUGUCGCGCGGCGGAGGAAGGAGUACCAUGUCGUAGCUGCCGUCGAGGGACAUGAACUCGAGACUCCCGAAACGGAGCAGCGUCCCGGGCUGGAGAGGUUGCUGGAGACUACCCAUCUGGAGCUUAACGGGAAGCUAUUCGUCAACACGCAGCAGGCCCCUACCUGGCGCGCCAACUGUCGGCGUUUUGACCCCGGGGGUCCCUGGACCGACGAGUAAAUUGUCGCUGCGUGUCCCAGCCCAGAUGGGUCGGCGCGAGAUGGAGCACAAGGGGGAACAAUAAGGGGAACCGCGGCCUCGUGUUGUCCUGCGCCCAGGGCGGAUGCGCUUGCAGUAGGGGGUUACAAGCGUUCGCGAGGGAGUGAGAGAGAGCCUUGUGCGUCAGCCCGUCCUCUCGCGCGGGCACCUUCUCGUACGAGGGCCCUAGACCUUCAUUUUAUAGAUGUAAGGAGAGGGUCCAGGUGUACAAUGGGGAGCGUAGCAAUGUGCUAACGUGUCUAGCAGAGAGGAGCCAGAGUCCUAUGUACAUGCCGAUGUGGCUGUCGGAGAGGUUUUAGCGCCCUGUUCAUGUGAUGUCGUGGCCGUCGGAGGAGUGCUUAAGCCCUGUAGGAGCAUAGCUGUCGGAGCUGUCGGGUCCUUGCUGACGUCUCCUUGCUUCCGUAGGGGGCUGAGAACCGCCGUCAUCAUGGAGCACGCGGGGUGCCAUCAUUACUUGUUUACCGGGGCAAGCCAGAUGGGACGCCGGUCUUGUUCCCCGUAGCCUGAGCUAGCUAGGGGUAGGGUAAUGAUGUACCCCCCUGCGGCGUGGUCGGUCCGAGCCCGAGGUCGGGCGAGGCGGUGACUCCUCCGAGGUCGAGGCUAAAUCCGAGCCCUGGGGUCGGGCGAGGCGGAGACCGUCGUUCGAGGUCGAGGUUGAGUCCGAGCCCUCGGGUCGGGCGAGGCAGAGUCCGUUGUCCAAGGUCGAGGUUGAGUCCGAGCCCUGGGGUCGGGCGAGGCGGAGUCCAUCGUCCGAGGUCGAGGUUCAGUCCGAGCCCUGGGGUCGGGCGAGGCGGAGCUUCCUAUGGCGCCUGAGGCUGGACUUGGCUGCUGUCAGCCUGACCCUGGCGGGUGGCACAGCAGUCGGAGCAGGGCAGGCGGCGCUGUUUUUCCUGUCAGGUCAGUCAGUGGAGGGGCGAAGUGACUGCGGUCACUUCGGCCCUAUCGACUGAGGAACGUGCGUCAAGAUAAGGUGUCAGACGAUCCUUGCAUUGAAUGUCGUUGCGAUACGGUCGGUUGGCGAGGCGAUCUGGCCAAGGUUGCUUCUCCGCGAAGCCUGCCCGAGCUGGGCCUCGGACGAGUCGAAGGUGCGCCCGUUGCUUGAGGAGACCCUCGGGCGAGACGUGAAUCCACCUGGGUCUCCUGUUCUUGCCCGAGGCUGGGCUCGGGCGAGGCGAGAUCGUGUCCCUCGAGUGGGCGGAGCUUUGACCUGUAUUGCGCCCAUCAGGCCUUUGCAGCUUUGUACUGAUGGUGGUUACCAGCCGAGUUUAUGAGUCUUGGGGGUACCCUAAUUAUGGUCCCAACACCUGACGCCUGCUUUGUAGGCCCUACGUCCAGCGCACGAACAAUAUCCCUCAACUAUUGUCCUGUGGACUCCGAUGCCCGCGCCAUUAUCUAAUCCCAUUUGUGCAGCUACCACAUCGUACAAAAAAUAGUACAGAGCAAGCACUCGAACUGACGUCCUAUGCUUUAGAAAUUUAGAGCUAACCACUGUUGGGGCGAAGGCAAAGACGCCACCCUUCGCUCGAGGCCUUCGCUGAUAACCGCUGGUCAGACAGAGACAGAACAGGCAGGGACACCCUUCGCUCCAUUCGGCACCAGACGAAGACCGGCGACGAAGUCAUCCCGCAGCGCGGCCUCGUUCAGCUCUGAGGCCCACGUGUGAUCUGGCCCAUUGUAACGGGCCCUGCGUGGCCGCCUUUGUGUUACGGGCCUAAUCUGUAAAGGCAUGCUUGUAAUUACAGCUUGUAACCCUGCUUUAUGGGAAUAUUCUGGGGAUAAACUAGGUGUCUGAGGGCACAUGCGUCCUUAACACAAGGCGUUGGGCACUCAGAUACCUAUAAAUACCCCCGCACAGUGCCCGUGAGAGGCUAGAUUAACAGAGCUAUUGCCCCCGAGCACGUAACCCUGUUGUCGCCACUGUUCACCCCUGUUGGCCUCCUUGCUGCUGAGAGCAAGUUCCAACAUUUGGCGCCCACCGUUCGUGCUACGACAAAACCACCCGCGAUGGCACCCAAGAGAGCUAACCCGAAGGCUGACGAGGCUGCGAAGGCAGCACUGCUUGCCGCAAGAAAGGGCAAGGCCCUCGCCCUCACCCAAUCCACCCACCAAGAGCCCACUGAAGACAAUAUUCCCCGCACCUGCGAAGACGACACCUUCCGCACCUGCGGGCCCGAAGGACAAUCGCAGCCGCCCCAGGCUUCGCCCCACUGGAGGGCGCGGAUCUCACCGAGGACGGCAAGGUCCUCGGCGUCUCAACAGAAGAACAGUUACAGCUGCGCGCCCUGCGCCUCAAGAACCGCAAUCUCCAGAGGCAGAAAGAGAUACUGGAGGCCAAGCGCCAGCGUGUGUCCGCACUAGCCAAGGUGCGGCAAAUGAUACGCGGCGAGGAGCAGAAGGCCCAAGACCUCGAGCGCGAGAUCGCGCUGAUGCAGCGCGAAGGCCACCUCGGUCUACAGCAAGAGCCACCCCUCCAGCAGUGCGCACAACCGGAAGACACGCGCGAAGGCCACCUCGGCCUGCAGCAUGGCCCACCCCUGCAACACCGGGCGCAGCCGGAGAACCCGCGUUUCCCCCAGCAUGACUACGCCUUCCAGCACGGCGCGCCAUUCCAAGGGGUCAACUACCUCGACGAGCAAAGUCCCCUGGCGCCACACCUGCAAGUGACGCCUUGGCCAGCUAACUUCCGAGCAGGGGCAUAUCCCAAGUACAACGGCAGCACCGACCCGGCGCAAUACAUAAUGAGUUAUCAAGUCGCCGUUGCAUCCGCCGGAGGGGACGACGCCACAAUGGCGAAGUCUUUCAUCAUCGCCCUAGAGGGCCCAGCACUCACCUGGUUCACCAGAUUGCCUCCGCUGUCCAUUGAUUCGUGGAGAAGUCUCAGGGACAAGUUCCUUCUCAACUUCCAAGGGUACCGUCCAGACACCGACGCUUUGGCCGAGCUCUCGCUUUGCAAACAGCUGGAAAAGGAGACUCUGCGGGAGUAUUACCGUAAAUUCUUAACACUCAAGUCACAGCUGCCCUCCGUCGAUGAUCAGAUCGCCAUCCACUACGCCAUCAGUGGCCUUCGGGCCGGCGUCCUCUACAGCCACUGUAUCAGAGAUCCACCCAAGAACCUCCAGGAGCUAUAUCAGCUCUUUGAAAAAUAUGCCAAAUCCGAAGAGCUCCACCAGCGCAAGGUUGAGUCACAGCGGAAGCCCAAAGAUGCCCCGCAGUCCAGCCGCACGUGGACGAGGACUCCGCAACCAGACUCCGGUCGAGAUGGCCGCAGUCAACAGCAAGUGCACAACAUCACCAACCAGCAGCCUGCUGCGGACCCCCCUCGUCGCCAGGAAUAUCCCCCCCCCAGGGCCGCGGAAACGGAACUCGUGGCAGGGGCCGAGGGCGCACGCAGCCGCCGCGCCGGUUCUACUGCCUUUUCCACGGCGAAGACUGCGCCCACCAGACCAAAGACUGCCCAGAAACGAAGGCCACCAGGGACAGAAUGGCGCGGGCGCAGCCAGUCGACAAUCCCAGAAUUGUCGCGCAUAAUUACCAGCCACCCCCUCCACCAUAUAUCCACGCUCCCGCUCCGCAUCCACCGCACCACGCCUACCAACACCAUCAGGAAGUACAAAUCGUACCUCCCCCACCCCCACCACCACACCAGCAACACCAAAACAUCCCCCAUGCCCCAAAGCAGGAGGACUUCGCCGAUCAACCAUAUCGCGGAGUCAUUCACAUGAUAACAGGGGGGUCAAGCACUGACUUCGACACCAAGCGGCAGAAGCGGGACCACUACCGCAGCAUCAACCAUGUCGCGGUCACUGGCCCAGUCGUGCAGACGAAGUGGUCCCACAUACCGCUAACCUUCGAUGCACGAGACGUCGACCUGCGCAGCGCCCCCCACAUUGACGCUAUGGUCAUCAAUUGCAGCGUGGCAGGCUGGGACUUACACAAAGUCCUAGUCGACAACGGCAGUCAGGCGGACAUCAUCUUCCUCCACGCCUUCGACCGCAUGGGUAUAAGCCACAGCCUGCUCAAGCCUUCGGACAAUCCGUUGUAUGGCUUCGGCGGCAAAGGCACCUUUCCCGUUGGCAAAAUAGAGCUGCCCCUCUCCUUCGGUGUAGCACCCAAUGCCCGAAGUGAGCAAGUAACCUUCGACAUCGUCGACAUGGUAUAUCCGUACAACGCCAUCAUGGGUCGGGGCUCCAUCAAUAAGUUCGAAGCUGCCAUCCACGGACUGUACCUAUGUAUGAAGAUACCAGGUCCGCUAGGCGCUAUCACGAUCUACGGCAACCAGCAGACGGCACGCAACAUAGAGCGGGACUUCGUGCCUGGUCAAAGGAACGUACACUAUCUCACGACCCAGCGCGAGGUCCCUGCGCCCGCCAGCCCAACCGAUAAGCAGCACGAUAAGGCACAGUUGCAGAGCCAAGACGGGACCAAGACUGUCCCCCUUGAUCAGGCCACGCCCAAGCAGACAGUCACUAUCAGCGAAGACCUUACAUCACAUGAAGAAGAGAAGCUUCUCUGCUGCCUGACCAAGAAUAAAGAUGUCUUCGCCUGGUCCGCCCUAGACCUGGUCGGAGUCAGCCGAUCCAUAAUUGAGCACAGCUUGGGAAUUGACCCUUCGGUGCGACCAAAAAAGCAAAGGCUCCGCAAAAUGUCCGAUGAAAAGACAGAGGCCGCCAAGGCGGAAGUGCACCGCCUCCUAGAAGCUAAAUUCAUCGAGCCAGUGGCUUACCCCACGUGGCUCUCCAAUGUCGUAAUGGUGCAGAAAAAAAGCGGGAAAUGGCGAAUGUGCAUAGACUUCACCAGUCUCAAUAAGGCCUGCCCGAAGGACAAUUUCCCGUUGCCGCGGAUCGACAAAAUAGUCGAUAGCGCGGCCGGAUGCGAGGUCAUGUCUCUCCUCGACUGCUUCUCCGGCUAUCACCAGAUAUACAUGAAGGAGGAAGACAAGGCUAGCACCAGCUUUAUAACACCCUUCGGCACUUAUUGCUUCAUCAGAAUGCCGGAGGGUCUCAAGAAUGCCGGGUCCACCUUCUCCAGACUCACCAAAACAGUACUCGAGGGCCAGGUCGGCAGAAAUAUAUUUACAUAUGUGGACGACAUCGUCGUCGCCAGCAAGAAUAAGGAGGACCAUCUCGCCGAUCUGGCCGAGACAUUCACGAACAUGCGAGAUGCACGACUCCGCCUAAACCCGGAAAAGUGCGUCUUCGGUGUUCACCAAGGCAAGAUAUUGGGCUACCUGGUGUCACACCGCGGCAUCGAGGCCAACCCAACCAAGAUCCAGGCCAUCGUCGACAUGUCGCCUCCGCAGUCCGCCAGGGACGUCCAGCGUCUGACAGGCAGAUUGGUCGCUCUCAACAGAUUCAUCUCCAGGUCCGCCGAGCGAAGUCUCCCCUUCCUCAAAACACUCCGCGGUGCAAAAGACUUCGCCUGGGGACCGGAGCAAGCAGCGGCCUUCGCCUCACUAAAACAGUACCUGUCGGAGCUAGCCAUCCUCACAAGCCCCGACUCCUCGCUUCCCCUAUUGCUCUAUGUCGUGGCUUCGCCGCACGCGGUCAGCGCGGCACUAGUGCAGGAGCAGACAGUCGAGGGCGCAGUCAGACAGUGCCCUGUUUACUAUGUCUCCGAGGUCCUGACACUGUCCAAAUGCAACAUGACAGAGCUGGAGAAGAUCGCCUACGCAGUUGUUAUGUCCUCGCGCAAACUGCGCCAUUACUUUGAAGCAUUCAAGGUCUGAGUCACCUCAGACAGGGGGCUCGGCGAACUAUUCAGAAACCCGGAGGCAUCGGUGAGGAUUGCCAAGUGGGCAGCCGAACUCUCCAGCUACCACAUCAGCUUCGAGCCCAGGACAGCCAUCAAGUCGCAAGUCCUGGCAGACUUCGUCGUCAACUGGACUGGGCCAGUAACACAGCCGGACCCGUCCACAGAGAAGGUCUGGACCAUCCAUUGCGACGGCGCAUGGUGCCAUGCGGGGGCAGGCAUCACUGCAGUCGUCACCUCACCAGCCGGAGUCAAACACAGAUAUGCAGCACGCCUCAACUUCGCUCUAGAGUCCGACAGAUGCACAAACAAUAUAGCAGAGUAUGAAGCGGUUAUCCUCGGCCUCCGCAAGCUAAGGGCCCUCGGAGUCACCACAUGUAUCAUCAAGACAGACUCCAAGAUAGUUGCCGGCCAGGUCGAGAAAGACUAUGCAGCAAAAGACCCCGCGCUCAUGCAAUACCUCGCGGCUAUCCGAAGCCUCGAGAGACAGUUCAAGGGAUUCACCUUACAGCAUGUGGAUAGGGCCAAGAACGAGGAGGCCGAUGCAUUAGCCAAGGCCGCCGCCAGGGGCGAGCCCUUGCCCUCCGACGUGUUCUUUCACACCAUCGGCACGCCAGCCGUCCGGAGCCCCGAAGGGCUCCAAAUAACUAAUGAUAGCGAGGGCCACCGCAUAGUCAACCUAAUCAUGACCGAAGACUGGCGGGCACCAAUAACCCUGUUCCUACAGGGGUACUAUCAUCCAACCGACGUCAGUGAGGCAAAGCGCCUCAGACAUCGAAGCCGGGACUUCGCACUGAUUGAGGGCCAAUUAUACAAGAAAGGGGUCAGUCAGCCAAUGCUUAAAUGCGUCACCGAAACCGAAGGCAUGCAGAUCAUACGCGAAGUCCACAGUGGCACGUGCGGCUCGCACGCAGGGCCAAGGGCCCUGGCUGCCAAGGUGAUCCGACAAGGGUUUUACUGGCCUGCAAUGAUCUGCGCCGCAAAUCGAGUCACAAGGUCCUGCGAAGCCUGCCAGAAGUUCUCUCCUCGUUCAGGCAACCCCUCGCAAUAUACAAAGCUGAUCGCCCAUACAUGGCCUCUCCAGCGCUGGGGCCUGGACAUUGUCGGGCCCCUGCCCACCGCUCAGGGGAACCUUAAGUUCGCCUUCGUAGCCGUCGAAUACUUCACCAAAUGGAUUGAAGCGAGGGCUGUUUCCACAAUCACAUCAAAGACUGCCCAAAAAUUCUUCUGGCAGAACAUUGUUUGCCGCUUCGGAGUACCGUCCGAGCUAACAGUUGACAACGGCAAGCAGUUCGACAGCCAAGAUUUCAAGGAUUUUUGCUUCUCCAUCGGCACCAAGCUUGCCUUCGCUUCAGUCUAUCAUCCGCAGUCCAACGGGGUCGUGGAGCGUGCCAAUGGGAAAAUCUUCACAGCUGUCAAGAAGAUGCUCCUCGACGAAAAAAAGGCAGAUGGACCGAUUUAUUACCGGAGGCAGUCUGGGCGCUAAACACAACUGAGUGCAGGGCGACCGGGUUCACUCCUUUCCGCCUUCUAUACGGAUCGGAGGCAAUGACCCCGCAAGAAAUAAAGCAUGGGUCCCCGCGUACAGUUUCGUCAGCCGUCCCCGACGUGGAUGAGCCAACUUCAAAAGAUCUCAUUGACGGAGACCGGGUCUUCGCCCUACAGGCCCUAAACAAAUACCAAGCCCAGACCAAAGCAUGGCGCGACCACGCAGUCAUCCCGAGGGAGUUCAGCGAGGGGGACCUCGUACUCGUCCGAACAGCUCGGACGGAGUCCAAGGGCAAGUUGGAGCCCAAGUGGGAGGGACCCUUCAUAGUCAAGACAAAAGCUUCCCCCAGCGCUUACAGGCUCACAACGCCAAAUGGCGAGGACCUGGAGCACUCCUGGAACAUCGACAACCUUCGCAUAUUUUUUGUUUGACCCAUUUAGGGCUGAUUUCGCCCUUGUAAUUCGCCGCAAACAAUCUUGUACCGGCCCGCACUCUUUUCCUCCCGGGGGGUGAGGUUUUUAACGAGGCGGAGCCAUGUAAUAUAUGUGAGAAAAAUCCCCCGCAAAAACGUGUCGAAAAAAGACCGCGACAACGGUCUUCGGCAUUCGACCAAUUCGAAGUCACCGCGAGGCUAAGCGCUAGCCACCCUCGCGUGCGACAAGUCCGCGCAGAAGUCGCCUAAGGGUGCAGCCGGACUAGCACAACAAGUGCGAAAAAAUCCGAUGUCUAUCGCGAAGACUAUCCGCGCAGAAGUCGUCUAAGGGUGCAGCCGGACUAGCACAACAAGUGCGAAAAAAAUCCGAUGUCUAUCGCGAAGACCAUCCGCGCAGAAGUCGCCUAAGGGUGCAGCCGGACUAGCACAACAAGUGCGAAAAAAAUCCGAUGUCUAUCGCGAAGACUAUCCGCGCAGAAGUCGCCUAAGGGUGCAGCCGGACUAGCACAACAAGUGCGAAAAAAAUCCGAUGUCUAUCGCGAAGACUAUCCGCGCAGAAGUCGCCUAAGGGUGCAGCCGGACUAAGCACAACAAGUGCGAAAAAAAUCCGAUGUCUAUCGCGAAGACCAUCCGCGCAGAAGUCGCCUAAGGGUGCAGCCGGACUAGCACAACAAGUGCGAAAAAAAUCCGAUGUCUAUCACGAAGACUAUCCGCGCAGAAGUCGCCUAAGGGUGCAGCCGGACUAAGCACAACAAGCGCGAAAAAAUCCGAUGUCUAUCGCGAAGACUAUCCGCGCAGAAGUCGCCUAAGGGUGCAGCCGGACUAAGCACAACAAGUGCGAAAAAAAUCCGAUGUCUAUCGCGAAGACUAUCCGCGCAGAAGUCGCCUAAGGGUGCAGCCGGACCAGCACAACAAGUGCAAGAAAACCCGAAGUCUAUCACAAAGACUCCGCACAGAAGCCGCCUAAGUGCGCAGCCGAACUGGUACAACAAAAGCAGAAACGACAGCAUCAAACCGUCCGCGCUAAGACCGACUAUAAUCACACCAGCACAGCAUAGCCAACCAUACCAGACAAAGUACACAACGCCCUCGCAGGCACAGGCACGCGAGGGCACACAACUUCAUCUUACAAGUCUUUACACAUAUACAAGCGAGGGCGCCACACUCUACAUCGGCUCAACCUUAGGAAUAAUUCCCAUCUCCCUAUAAUUAAAUAACAUUAUUCUAAGCUCCUCACCCGCAAAAAGACUUCGCAGUUCCCCCUCCCUUGUGCCCGCGGCGGCCGGCAAAGACAACAGCUCCUGCCGACCAGCCCUACUCACGCGAAGCCGAGCCCUUUCCUCCGCACUAACCCUACGCUUUGCAACCGCCCUUCGUCGUCGGCGCCCGAUGCAAGGACCUGGCACGUCUGGCGCGCCCGCGGCGUGUGGCGAAGCCGCCGCCGCAGCUACGUCCAAGGCCGCAAAAUAAUCCAAGUCCUCCUCCGACGACUCCUCAGUCCACUCAACCGAGCUCCCAGAGUCAGUAAAAUCAAAAAACUCAGAUACAGACCCACCAUAUUCAUUCCCACCUUCCGCGGUCGAAGCCGCCAAAAACUCAGUAGUAGCGGUUGCGUGCGCAGGCCCAAAAUCUUGAACCUACGCAGCAACCAAAAUUCAGCACAACACCCAAAAAUUCCCCAACCCUAAACACCUACUACGCCACCUGCGAAGGCCCUGACGCUGCGGGUGCUUCCGCCGUUGGCUCCGCCGUUGGCUCCGCCGCUGCCUCCACCGUUGUUUCCGCCGCCACCGCCGCGGGAUCUUCAGCACUCGGCACAGCAGCUGCGGGGGCAUCAGGGGCGCCUUCGGCCACCUUCGGGGGCAGGUCUUCGCCGGCCACAGCGGAUGUGGGGGCAGCCGUCGCGGUCGCUGCGGUCUCCGGGGUUGGCUCCAGGGCGACCCCAGUCACAGCCUCCGCGAGGGUCGGCUCCGGGUCUGGCAGCGCGCUGUUCAGAACCCCAAAGUCGUCCACCCGCUCGCCGCGCUCCGCCUAGGACAAGACACACAGAUUCAGCAAACACACGCACAGCCCGCAUACAGCAAACGCCAAACAAACAACAACGUUACCUGAGCCCUCGCAGUCUCGGCCCGCUCCCUGACCACCUCACGACCGUACAGACCCCACAUCCGGUCAUAAAGGGCCCCGACGGAUUCCUUCACUACGGGGUCUUCGACCUUAUAGAUAUCUCGCUCAAAAUCUUCAUCCGCCUGGUCGAAGGCCUCGAAGUGCCGGCACCCUUCGCGGGAGAGCGCGUUCAUCGCCCCCUCGCAGGUGACCAGGGAAGCGUACGACAUCAACCCCCCCGCGACGGCUGGAAGUUCCAGCAGCUCCUCCUGCACCCACUGCAGACAGCGAAGGCCGGGCUCUCGGUCCGGCACCUCGAAGUCACCGGUCCGCGCACCCAGCUCACGAUAUGUAUCUAUAAGCUGCGUGCGCGUCCGUUCGGCCUCCGCAUGCAUCGCGGCCUCGACCUCCUUCGCGCGGCUCUCCAGGGCGGUGAGCCGCUCUUGCAGAUGUUCGGCGAGCUCCUUGGCAAGAUUGCCCUCCGCCCGCGCCAGCUUGGCCUCCGCCUGCUCAGCCUGCCCCUUGGCGACGGCCUCGUUGGCUUCCCUCCUCUCCGCCGCCAGUUGGCACCGGAGGUCAGCCUUCUCCCUCUCCAGGGCGGCCACCCUGUCCGUCAGCUUACGGCACUUGCUGUCGGAGGCCGACUUCUCACGGACAGCGUCAGCAUGUUGUGUCCGAAGUCUCUCGACUUCAGCAGACACAGCUGCCGUGAGGGCCCCCGACGCAGUACGGCUGGCGAAGUCAGCCACCUGCAGAGCCGCGACACAGUACGUAAGGUCGUUGCCCCAAAAGAGGUGGGGGAGAGAGUAUAACUCAGCGGACCUGACUCAGCGCCUCCGUCGCCUGACUCAGCGCCUCCGUCACUCCCUUCAGCCGGCGGGUCGCUGCGCCCGCCUCGUCCCUGACCACAGCGAGGGCCGACACCUCGCCUCCGGCGUCAAGGGCCUCGCCCCUCGCCUUCGGCACUAUGGCCGCUGUCGCGAUCUCCGCGCCAGGCGCAACCAUAGCAAGCUGGCCCUCGUCCGACCCUGCAACGCAUCUUCGAAUUUAAAAAAUAUAUAUAUAUAUAUAAUAAUAAUAAUAAUAAUAAUAGGCCAACGACUUACCACCAAGAUAGUCGUCUACAGUAAUAUCGGUGCCGAAGUCGGCAACGCGCUUGCCCGACAACGGCAACGCUCGGGCCGCCUUCGAAGCCUCCGCCACUCCGCUGGCCGGCGGCACCACCUUCGUUGACUUGGGGCCUCCGACGCCCGCCGUUGCCUCCGGCGCCUUGCUAGGUGCAGAGGCGCCCGCCUUCGCCGCCAGCGGCGGCUUGCCUCCACCGGAGGCCGCAGCCUUCGCAGCCCCCCGCUUCCUCUUCGGCCUAGCUUCAUGCAGCCUGACAGCCGCCUGGCGUUUUUGCGCCGCACCUUGGCGAUCCUUGUCCAUCACUGCCCACACAACAGCACCGAUAUUCCGCCCGUAAGGAAAAACUCUCCACUGACGAACCAUACGAGAUGUAAAACAGUCCUCGCCAGCCGCGCAGGGGAUAGGAACAUUCCUAGGCCAGCAACCCCCGGUAACCCUCAUCAUCCGAGCCGAAGUCUCCCGGAGCUCGGGCGAAGACAUCCUUUCCCCCGGGGCCGCACACGUCCUCAUUAACUCUCUAGCAAAACUAUCAGACACCCCAAGUCCUCCCAUCGCAGUACCUAAUUUUCUCUUUUUUGAGGAAGGGGCGGCCGCCAGCGCAGGGUCGCCUCCAGUCUCCACCGCCGGUUUCUUCCCACGGCGGUCCGCUUCGUCUUGACCAGGAUAGCCGUCGUACGGCAAUUGAUUUAAUUCGAAGACCCUGUUCAAACGGUCAUUUGACCCGCGGAUAUCAAAGUUGCGCUGGCCUUCCGUCCUCGGCACGUAACGCCCCACGAGCCGCACCGCCCCGUCCUCCGCAUCGCGCACAAAGGCGGCCGGGUCGCGGUUUCGCAGAUUCAGUGCGAAGGCAGGGCUUCGCACCACCCUUCCUCCGUGAAAAGGCAUCUGGCGAGGGCACACUUCGCCCAGCGCCCAGCCGUGCGCCAAGGGCCACACCCCAUACGCCACAAACUCUUCAACUAAAUCACGCCCACUGCUCUGACCGGCGGCGCACCGAAGGGCCCCCUCGUCUGCAUCUUCCUCUGCCACUUCAAAAGGCGGAUACGCAGAGUAAUAAUGAGAGCACAUCUCAGACACAGGGAGUCCCUUAUGGUCUUCGACAGUACCCUCCGCAACGUAAAACCAAAAUUCAUUCCAAUUGCCCCACUUGUUGCGGGCGCACGGAACCAACUCCACUACUUGCAUUGUGGUCUUGUCGGUCUUCGGCGUGAAUGUGCAUGACCCGAACUGGGCAACUUCGUCCCCAAUCAUCCUCUUCUGCCAAUGCAAACAAUAAUACUUCGCAAAAACUUCAACCGACGGCUGUCCGCCGUACGAAGUCGUCGCCCAGACAUACUUCGCCAGUGCCACCAUGGCAUUCGGUGUCAACUGAUGUAUUUGAACGUUGAAUCUACGCAGGACUUCGCCAACAAACCGGUGCGCAGGCAAGCGGAGACCGGCGGCGAAGAACGCCUCGAAAACGACCAAUUCACCAUCCGGCUCGGGGACUUCCUCCGUCCCCGGAGCACGAGCAACUCCGCCGCCAAAGUAGCCCAAUCGCUGCAUAUCUUCAACGCGGGCUGACGUCAUCCGUGACACACCAAAAUCAACAGAGUCGCCGGCGCGCAACUCCUCCACCAUCAAGCUACUCAACGUCUCCUCAGACGAGGCGGCGGCCGGCGGCGUAGUAGCAGCGGAAGAAGAGGAAGACGACAUUGCUACGUACCGUCGGCGGCGGCGGGCGGUCUGCUUCACUCGAGCCAGAACUCCGGUGAGCAAAAGGAGCAGCGGAAGAAGAGGAGCAGCAAGACGGCGGACGGCUAGGGUUUUCACGGAGCGCGGAAGGCAAAGUUCAAACAGCGCCGACCCCCGCCCCCUUUUAUAGGCAGGGCGCGGCUCUUCGGGAAACCCGCAAUCCGAUAGGGCGCGACGCUUCGGGAAACCCGCAAUCCAACAGUACGCCGUCCAUCAACGGUCACAUCAAAAACCCCCGCGGAACCACUUCGAGCGAGGGCAGCGUCUCCGCCAUCUAGCGACGUCUUCGGCACCAGGUGACUUUGUCGAACUGGUCCCUCGGAGGGCAAAUGUUGGGGCGAAGGCAAAGACGCCACUCUUCGCUCGAGGCCUUCGCUGAUAACCGCUGGUCAGACAGAGACAGAACAGGCAGGGACACCCUUCGCUCCAUUCGGCACCAGACGAAGACCGGCGACGAAGUCAUCCCGCAGCGCGGCCUCGUUCAUCUCUGAGGCCCACGUGUGAUCUGGCCCAUUGUAACGGGCCCUGCGUGGCCGCCUUUGUGUUACGGGCCUAAUCUGUAAAGGCAUGCUUGUAAUUACAGCUUGUAACCCUGCUUUAUGGGAAUAUUCUGGGGAUAAACUAGGUGUCUGAGGGCACAUGCGUCCUUAACACAAGGCGCUGGGCACUCAGAUACCUAUAAAUACCCCCGCACAGUGCCCGUGAGAGGCUAGAUUAACAGAGCUAUUGCCCCCGAGCACGUAACCCUGUUGUCGCCACUGUUCACCCCUGUUGGCCUACUUGCUGCUGAGAGCAAGUUCCAACAACCACCAAAUGACAUGUACCUUAAUAUUUAGAAAUAAACAAUAACUAUAUUUGAAUAAAUAUCCCAAUAACUAUUUAUAUGAUAUAUAAAAACCAUAAAAAAUCACGGAAACAAGAAAGAUCAGUAGAGGGAACUCUGAAGCGCUUGCGCCGGCUAUAUAGGUGAACAAGUCCCCUGGUUUACCAUGAUUCCAGGCUACAAACAUGCCGAAUUUGCGAUUCCAUGGUUUGUUUUUGAGGAAACAGUUCUGCCGAGCCGUAAACCGCAAUGAGCUUUCAACGACAACCAUUGCUUUCCGGAUCAUCCACGACCACGCCUACAGCUAGCUACAAAUAAUAGGAUAAGAGCCUGGUACGUCUCAUGGCCUCAAAAACAUUCUGGGUCGUACGUGAAAGGUGAAAAGCUUUGGCACGCAUUAGUCCAGGUCGAGACCAGAGUCGAGCAGGCAAUCCGAACGCAGUCAACCACAAGUCAUCAGGAUUGCUGGCUGUCCUAGUCUUCGCACCAACACGUUACACGCACACGGCACACCAUCUCUCUCGCUUCGCCCCAGAGUCCAGAGAUGUCUCUCUCAGCAGCUUCCAUCCUCCAUGCCCUUCUCCUCACCCUUCUCCUCGGCGCCACGGCCUCCGUCACGGCUGGCAACGGCCACGUGAACCCGUCGAUGUUUACCAACGGCACCGAGACGUGCUCCAGCGCCGACGACACGACGGAGAGAUACAUCUGCUACCUCUGCACGGGCCGCAACCCGUUCCUGAUCAGGUACUGCCCCAUCUACUGGGACGAGUGCCACCUCGUCCUCGUCUGUUACGACGACCAGGCUUCCGACUCCAUUCCCGCAGUGCCCGUGCCGACGUCGCUAGGGCCGGCGGCGUCGGCCAACCCCAGUGAGCUGCACGAAGACGAAUGCUACGUCAUGAAGCUGUACUGGAACGGUAGCUACGCCAUCGUCACCCGCCUCGGCUGCGCCCGGAUCGCCAGAUGCCUCCUCUCUCCUGCGGCGGGGGCGACAUGGCUGGCAGCGACAGCCGACAGGGACGCCCUUGGCACCACCACCGCAGCGCCGGCGACGACGGCUGCGCUCCAGGGGAGAUUAACGUCACGACUCGCGGAUUUGCAGCGGUGCAGCACGCAGGUCACUACGCCGUCUCUGCAUGGCGCCGUCGUCCGGACUCGUGGCUAGCGCUGUGUUGGCAUGGACGCAUGGUCGCGUACGGCGUACCGCGCUACAUGUCGCCAUGCGCAGUGCGAGUGCGUGUCAGGUCGCGCGCAUGCGGAGUUUGUGCGGACCGGGCGUUUUUCCGUCCAAAUGACUUUCGGACACUUCUAAAGAAGAAAGAUGAGAGAUUAGCUGUGUUAAUCGGUAGGGAGCUUGCUUUGAUCCCGACGAAAGAAAAAUCAGAAAUGCUUCACGUAUGAUCCACCCACCCGUAUCACUGGAAUGCAACUAAUGUUAAUAUAUGGUUGUUAUUGACUUUUGUUCUGAACUAAUGAAUCUUAAGCCAUUAGAUGAAUCUAAUCGUGGCUAAGUUUAUCAUUAUAGUCGUACAUGUAGCAGCGCCAAAAAAAAAGUCCAACACCUCUCGAGCUCCCAAUGUAUACGACUGCGCGCUUCGGAAAAUGGAUGCAUCUGUACGCAAAGAUAUGUCGCUACUUCAAGCAAAUUGACUAAAAUUUAGCUACGUUUAGCUUACGAACCCGGGUGUUGGGGCGAAGGCGAAGACACUACCCUUCGCUCGAUGCCUUCGUCGUCUCGCUCCACCAACGACGCCAAGGACGCUGGUCCGAUGAGGACUUCGGGACUGGACUUCGCGGGCGGCCUUCGCUCUUAUCCAUCACGAGACGAAGGCAUGACUCCAAC